AUGGUUCUGAUUGAAAGAUGGUUCGGCUAUCACUUUUGGAUGGACCCGCGGCGUAUUAGUUAGUUGGUGAGGUAAAGGCUCACCAAGACGAUGAUACGUAGCCGAACUGAGAGGUUGAUCGGCCACAAUGGGACUGAGACACGGCCCAUACUCCUACGGGAGGCAGCAGUAGGGAAUCUUCCACAAUGGGCGAAAGCCUGAUGGAGCAACACCGCGUGAGUGAAGAAGGGUUUCGGCUCGUAAAACUCUGUUGUUGGAGAAGAACGUAUGUGAUAGUAACUGAUCAUGUAGUGACGGUAUCCAACCAGAAAGCCACGGCUAACUACGUGCCAGCAGCCGCGGUAAUACGUAGGUGGCAAGCGUUAUCCGGAUUUAUUGGGCGUAAAGCGAGCGCAGGCGGUUUUUUAAGUCUGAUGUGAAAGCCCUUGGCUCAACCAAGGAAGUGCAUCGGAAACUGGAAAACUUGAGUGCAGAAGAGGACAGUGGAACUCCAUGUGUAGCGGUGAAAUGCGUAGAUAUAUGGAAGAACACCAGUGGCGAAGGCGGCUGUCUGGUCUGUAACUGACGCUGAGGCUCGAAAGCAUGGGUAGCGAACAGGAUUAGAUACCCUGGUAGUCCAUGCCGUAAACGAUGAAUGCUAGGUGUUGGAGGGUUUCCGCCCUUCAGUGCCGGAGCUAACGCAUUAAGCAUUCCGCCUGGGGAG
RNAcentral lists this ribosomal RNA (703 nucleotides) under uncultured bacterium. RNAcentral describes it as "bacterial SSU rRNA". It matches the Rfam family "Bacterial small subunit ribosomal RNA", at positions 190 to 880 of the family's 1533-position model. The record is from RNAcentral.